UACGUAGGGCGCGAGCGUUGUCCGGAAUUAUUGGGCGUAAAGAGCUCGUAGGCGGCCUGUUGCGUCCGCUGUGAAAUCCCAGGGCUCAACCCUGGGCGUGCGGUCGAUACGGGCAUCACUGGAGUUCGGCAGGGGAGACUGGAAUUCCUGGUGUAGCGGUGAAAUGCGCAGAUAUCAGGAGGAACACCGGUGGCGAAGGCGGUUCUCUGGGCCUUACCUGACGCUGAGGAGCGAAAGCGUGGGGAGCGAACAGG
RNAcentral lists this ribosomal RNA (254 nucleotides) under uncultured bacterium. RNAcentral describes it as "partial 16S ribosomal RNA". It matches the Rfam family "Bacterial small subunit ribosomal RNA", at positions 524 to 776 of the family's 1533-position model. The record is from RNAcentral.